This 72-nucleotide transfer RNA is filed under the name Heterocephalus glaber (naked mole-rat). It matches the Rfam family "tRNA". From Rfam's summary of the family: Transfer RNA (tRNA) molecules are approximately 80 nucleotides in length. Their secondary structure includes four short double-helical elements and three loops (D, anti-codon, and T loops). Lineage: Eukaryota; Metazoa; Chordata; Mammalia; Rodentia; Bathyergidae. The record is from Rfam by way of RNAcentral.
GGGAACGUAGCUCAGUGCUACAGCACUUGCCUAGUAUGCACGAGGCCCUGGUUUCAAUCCCUAGCAUUGCCA